RNAcentral lists this ribosomal RNA (253 nucleotides) under uncultured prokaryote. RNAcentral describes it as "partial 16S ribosomal RNA". It matches the Rfam family "Bacterial small subunit ribosomal RNA", at positions 525 to 777 of the family's 1533-position model. The record is from RNAcentral.
ACAGAGGUGCCGAGCGUUAGGCGGAAUCACUGGGCUUAAAGCGUGUGUAGGCGGACGCCUAAGUACCUUGUGAAAUCCCCCGGCUCAACCGGGGAACGGCUGGGUAUACUGGGCGUCUUGAGACACCUAGGGGCGAGCGGAACAGGCGGUGGAGCGGUGAAAUGCGUAGAUAUCGCCUGGAACGCCGACGGUGAAAACAGCUCGCUGGGGGUGUUCUGACGCUGAGACACGAAAGCUAGGGGAGCAAACAGGA